Molecule: non-coding RNA, 2020 nt
Organism: Chelonia mydas (Green sea turtle)
Lineage: Eukaryota; Metazoa; Chordata; Testudines; Cheloniidae
Source: the annotation of a RefSeq genome assembly
GACACAACCACCUGUACAUUUGAGAGGAACCUCUCACUGUAUGUUCCUUUUCUAAUCCACUGUCAGUUAUUUCCCAGAAUUAUUCUGCAGGUGAGUGAGCUGGGGGUGGCCGUGUCUGUGUCUGUGAGAGAGAUCAAAUACUCUGGUUAGUUCCCUUACAACUGCUAGAUUGUCAUCCACCCCUUUUGUCUGAAAUGAGGUGGGCUUUCUCAGACGUUAUCUCUGUUCUGUUCUAUAAUGUCUGUGUAUGGAGAGGAAAAUAUUUUUCCCCUCCCCAGCAGCCAUGUGAAAAGAUACCAGUAAACUGGUAACACAAACUGCAACAAUCCCAACAUACAGCAAAAUAUGUAUCUGGUGUACAGGCUCCCAGCUGCAGUCCAUAGACUUCUUUGUGUUCAUCUCUAGAGAGCUCUAUGAUCACAUAACGCUGGUUCCUCCUCACUACCAUCUAUUAAAUUUCAGUAAUACAGCUAAGAAUGAAAUUCUCUCUCAGGUAUUAUUUUUCCAUGUAAGCAGUUGCUACAGAGAUGUGAUGUGAUUGCAGAUGCGAGGAGGAGGAGAUGGUCAAUGCUAUUGGGAACGGGAGAGGGGUUGUAGUCCAUGAGACCACACAGUGAAAAUGUUUGAGAACCGCCUGAUCCAACAGUCUAUUUACAACAUUAAAAUCAAAUAGAAGCCACAGUCUAGUUUCCAUUUUAAGGAGUGAGGAUUCAUUAACAGAAAAGCUGCAAGGACAUACAUAAAUUCUCUUUCCAGUGAUUCUAUUUGUAUCAGCUUUAUGAGGGCACAAAAAUGUGAAUUCAUUAAAUUCUCCAAGCAGUCAAGAAACCAGGAAUGCUUCAUUAGAAGUAUUUUCCCAGCUACUGGUUAGAGUGCCUGGAUAUUUGAGCAAGGACAUAGCACCAUAAGUAAAGUACCACAGCUUCUUGUAAAAUGAAAAGUCAACGUGACACUUCAAGCUGGAUCAAGUACUUUGGCACAGGAACCAAACUAGUUGUUUCGGACAUACAAGCAAAACUUGAUCCCAGCAAGAUGCAGGUCCUGCCUCCUUCUACUGAACAAGAUGGGAAAGUAACACACAUAUGCCUCAUUGAGGAUUUUUACCCAAAUGUUAUUAAGGUGACUUGGGAAGACGGCACGAAGAGUGCAGAGGAAAAUGCAGUGCAGGAGGAAAUUUGGCCCCCUGGUGACAAUCAACCUUCAUACUCAAUAAGCAGCUGGCUGGCCGUAGAUAAAAAUAGCAACAAGAAUUAUCGCUGCAAAUAUCAACAUGAAAGCAAAGAAGGUUUUGUCCCUAUCGAAUCUCCAGAUAUUACAGACAGUUUCAUGCACAGGACGGCGUAUUUAAUAUACAUUGUCCUACUCCUGAAAAGCACCAUGUAUUACGUCAUCGUACUCUUCUUCGUAUACAGGAUGCAAAGUCCAAUCAAGCACCGGGGAAAGAAACCUUAAACUUCUCCUUACAACUUCCAACGUCAGCAUUUGUGUCUGAAAUUUGCUUUGCUUUGCCAUAAGCCUGUUCAUAUGAAACACCUUGCUCUAAAUAUUAAGACAUGCAUUUCAAUUUGAUUUGGUUGGCUAUUUCUCUAAUUAGCGCAGAUGGCUUCUUCUGCUUGAGAGCAAACAGUUUUAUAUGUGACCAUAUUUCCUAUUUUAUUAUUUUAAUUUUGUAACUGUGGAACUUCAAGGGCUGAGGCUACACUCUUGAUUUCAACAGGAAUUUUGCAUCACAAAGUAGUGCAGAACCAGUCUCUUAGGCCCUUAUCCUGCAAAAACACAAAGAACUUUUUGGUUGUGGAAAGGCCAACUGCAUUCAGUGAAGUCAAUGGGAAAACUCGUCCCAUAAAUAUUUGCAGGUGUGGAGUCCUAAUCUAGAAUUUAAAAAUAUUUUCAUUUCUUUCUACUAAUUACACUUAGUUGCUUAAAAACAAAAACAGGCUUCUGAAAUAUGACUAAUUUUUUUAACUGAAACAUUAAUGGAUUUUAAAUAAAAUUCAGCAUUGCAGAGUUCUGUACAUUA